GGGCCCGUAGCUCAGUGGUUAGAGCAGUCGGCUCAUAACCGAUUGGUCGCUGGUUCAAGUCCAGCCGGGCCCACCA
This 76-nucleotide transfer RNA is filed under the name Patescibacteria group bacterium. Its description in RNAcentral is "tRNA-Met". It matches the Rfam family "tRNA". From Rfam's summary of the family: Transfer RNA (tRNA) molecules are approximately 80 nucleotides in length. Their secondary structure includes four short double-helical elements and three loops (D, anti-codon, and T loops). Further hydrogen bonds mediate the characteristic L-shaped molecular structure. tRNAs have two regions of fundamental functional importance: the anti-codon, which is responsible for specific mRNA codon recognition, and the 3' end, to which the tRNAs corresponding amino acid is attached (by aminoacyl-tRNA synthetases). tRNAs cope with the degeneracy of the genetic code in two manners: having more than one tRNA (with a specific anti-codon) for a particular amino acid; and 'wobble' base-pairing, i.e. permitting non-standard base-pairing at the 3rd anti-codon position. The record is from RNAcentral. RNAcentral also lists the same sequence under 2 other names.